Triplophysa dalaica is the source of this 1679-nucleotide long non-coding RNA. RefSeq lists it as uncharacterized. NCBI's taxonomy places the organism in Eukaryota, Metazoa, Chordata, Actinopteri, Cypriniformes, Nemacheilidae. The transcript has 2 exons. The record is from RefSeq and is a predicted model, not a curated record.
UCUAUUAUCUGAACGUCACGUAAUGUCACGUCAUGACGCCCGACAGACGGAACUCUAGUCUGCUGAUCUUCACAGAAUCCAUUAACAGCAAAUCUGGAUUUCUCUUCGAGAUCAUGGAUCGGUUCGCGAGUGUCAUUGGCCAACAACAAAAGGGUCUGACGGUGGGCGUGAGUUUGUUGAUCGUCGUUUUGAUCGUCGUUCUUGCGGCGGUUGUUUACACGCCUCCGGGCGCUACGGCACGAUGCUUGAGAAGAAACCGGACUGAAGAACACCUCUCGCUGACUGACAACAGAAUUUCCUGACAAGUCUUUGUGUAGUUUAAACUUAAAACAAAUACUUCUGCUGUCGAAUUAUCCUUUUAAAUAUGGUGCUGUUUACCUUCGGCACUGCCAGAGUUCAUUUACGGAACAUUAAACCACAAACUUAAAGAGCAGAAUGUGUGCCCUUUAAGAUAAUGGUUUCAUAUAAAUGACUUCCGGAUGUGUUUCACCCCGGGACCUUGGCAACUCCAAUUUGCUUUGCUCAUAAUAUGCUGGCAGAACGGACUGUGCUUUACAAAAUCCUCCAGUGGAUGCUCAUUCAAUAAUGAUGUCCUUAAUGUGGACUUUUACGUGCAUUAGAGAAGUUAUUAGCAGUAGGAAAUUAAAUAUUUUUAUGCGUAUACAUAGUGACAGUAAACCCAAAACUAAAAAAUUCAGUCAUCAUUUAAUCACCCGGCCUUGUCAUUUUAAAUCUGUAUGACUAUUUCUUCCACAAAACACAAAAUAAGAUAUUUCGAAGAAAGUAAACGAACACCACUUGCCCGCAUUCAGUUAUUUUAUGGACACAUGCAAGUGAAUGGGGGCUAGUUAACAACAUUCUUUAAAAUAUCUUAUUUUGUGUUCUGCUGAAGAAGUACAGUCAUGCAGUCUUAAAACGACAAGAGGGUCAAUAAAUGAUGUGAGUAAAACUAUCACUUUAACCCCAAUGUUGUGAUUCCAGAAAAAACCAUUAGGUGGACUAGUGCACCGUGAAUGAGGAUGAGACCUGAAGGAUACACACUACUGUGAGAGCAUAUUUUUUUGUUGUUAACACAUUUUUUAUUUUUCACAGUUGCUUUAUAAUGUAGUUAUUCUUGAGUUUUCUUAAUCAAGACAUGUUGCUAUGUCACUUUAACAUGGAAGACCAGAUCUCUGGUCUCAAAUGAGAUUAUAUGAAUGAAUGAUUGAAUGAAUGAGGCAUUUAUAUUGCGCUUUAUUGUGUAUUGCUGUACACCCAAAGCGCUUUAGAAUCAUAUGAGAGGGUUCUCUCCUCACCAUCCACCAGUGGGAUGAGAUUUAACACUAGUGGGACUGAUUAACAUAACUGUUACAAAAACAAUGAGCCAGGUGCUGACUUUCGCUCAAGUAAUAUUAUACACACUGUAUCUAAUGUAUGCAAAAUAGCUGUCAGGUGGACAUUAAUCUGAUUUUCCAUUUUUAUAUAAUGUAUUUUGCUUUAAAUUGUCUGAGAGGGAAUUAUGAUUUUGUAAAUCCCCAAGGAGUGAUUUUUCCUACUCCAUCACCACCAUCCUUUCACUGUCUGUGCAAUGUGCUUUAACAUAAGAGUCUGAAACAAUGACUUUUUCAUGUGUUUUGUGUUGCUGUGAAUUUUGCGUGCAUAUCUGUAAUAUUUCCCCUAAAAUAAAAAAAGAUCUGCGA